RNAcentral lists this long non-coding RNA (499 nucleotides) under Equus asinus (donkey). Its description in RNAcentral is "lncRNA (ENSEASG00005030260.1)". Lineage: Eukaryota; Metazoa; Chordata; Mammalia; Perissodactyla; Equidae. The record is from RNAcentral.
GCCCCCCCUCCGCUCAGGCUCCCGCAGCGCCCCCGCCCGGCACCGCCCCCGCCGGCGUCUGCUGGCCGCGCGCCUCCCGCUGAGUCAGCCGUGUCCACGGAAAGUUUUACUGGAACAGCAAGCUCCUUUGUUGCCUAGGUCCGCGGCUGCUUUGCACAACGACAGCAGAGUCGAGCCAUUGUGAGAGACGGUCAUCCAGACGUGCCUGUUUCUUCUUUUCUUCACUACAAAGCACAGCGGCAGGAAAGGGCCUCCUUCACUUCUUGCCAGGGGCUUCCUGCCUCUCAGUCCCGGUGACUCCACUUGACUUCCUCUGACCUAAGACAGAGCCCCCAACCUCAAUGAGCGAUAAAUACACGGACCUGUGUGUUUGUCCCUGGUGUGCGUGAAUCCUGUUAACUGUGAUUACCUGGGGUGGGGGAGGGGAGGAAGCGGGGGUCCGAAGAGUACUGACUUUUCACUGUACUUUGGUGCUGUUUGAAUUUUGUGGCAUAUAAAU